This 253-nucleotide ribosomal RNA is filed under the name uncultured bacterium. RNAcentral describes it as "partial 16S ribosomal RNA". It matches the Rfam family "Bacterial small subunit ribosomal RNA", at positions 524 to 776 of the family's 1533-position model. The record is from RNAcentral.
UACGGAGGGUGCGAGCGUUGUCCGGAAUCACUGGGCGUAAAGGGCGCGUAGGCGGCCUGAUAAGUAGGGGGUGAAAUCUUGCGGCUUAACCGCAAGGCUGCCUUCUAAACUGUCAGGCUAGAGCACAGUAGAGGCAGGUGGAAUUCCCGGUGUAGCGGUGGAAUGCGUAGAGAUCGGGAAGAACACCGGUGGCGAAGGCGGUUAGCUGGGCAGUUGCUGACACUGAGGCGCGACAGCGUGGGGAGCAAACAGG